Molecule: long non-coding RNA, 2306 nt
Organism: Gymnogyps californianus (California condor)
Lineage: Eukaryota; Metazoa; Chordata; Aves; Accipitriformes; Cathartidae
Exons: 10
Source: RefSeq, a predicted model, not a curated record
CCUUCGUUUGCGUGGUGCGGGAAGGAGCGUCGUCGAGCUGUCGGCACUCUACCCUGCUGCUCUGCCUGGCGUCGAUGAUUGCUUACGGCUGCCAGGAGAGCGGUCCCAGGCGACGCCUGGCUGAGUUGGUGCAGUUGGUGGAGUUUCACGGUGGUUUGGAACUUCCUUAGGGUAAUCAGUAUUAAAGGCUUCUGUGGCUGAUCAGUUCUGCAGGCAACAUGCAUGGGUAACAGCUGAUCUGUAAAGGAUCAGCUAAAGCUUCAUCUCUUAACCUCUGAAGAACCUGCUUGGCUCCUCUUAGUGACAGAACCAGCUCCUGAGAGUGCUCUGACCUGCAGCCAGUUGCUGUUAACGAGCUGAGAAGCAGGCAGAGAGUUAUGCAAUAUGAGUUGAGCUUUGCUACGCAAGAACAAUACAGUUCUGGCAAGUACCAACAUCCCUUUUUCAAAAAAGGACAGGAAAAGUUGCUGUGAAAGAUAAAAAGGAAAAGUUUGGAAAAUCAGUGUGAUGGGACAGGAAGCAGAAACAAAGUUGAAGCCGGAGUUGGUGGCCUCAAUCAAUGAAGCGUUGGAGCGGACAUCUCAGACAUAGAAAAAGAUGGCACUGCUCGGGGAUGAGCAGAAACCACCAUAUCACUGGCGCAAACCUGGAUUACAUCAAGAAAGAAGAAAUAGGCAGAACUGGUGCUGCUUCGUGUGGAUCAGCAAGGCAGAUACUAAAUCAGAACCCUUCAGCACUCAAAUGAGCAUUGUAUCUAGGUUUGGAUCUUCUUUGGCAGAAUGCUUGGGAAGAAUACUUCAGUACAGAUUGGGUACUCAGACAUCAGAAUAGAAGCUGCGAAAAUCAAGAACAUCUAAUUUUGUUUUGGAUCUUGUCUGUUUUGAUCAGGAAAAUACCAAGCACUUGGAAUAUGGUUUAACCUAUGCUUCAUCCUAUGAUUUGAAGGCAUGUGGAGAAGAGAAGGAAAAUUAAUCACUUAGCCAUCCAAAAAACUGAACAGUACUUGAAUCAGAUGCACAAGGACAGCAUAAAACUAACUGAAAGGAUACUGGCUUUGGAAGAACAGUCUCUUCAGAAGCUUUCUGAAAUGUCAUCUACUUUGCCUACUCUAGCCAGUUUCAUCGUGAACACAGGAACCUCAAAGGCUGUCCCAGGUUCAAGGAGGAUUAAUUUAAAGCUAGGCCUCUUAGGGCCACUUUUAAUUCAAGGAGAUCCUAAUACGUGCAGAGUUGGGACUCCUAGGAACACUUUCAGUUAUUUAAAUGGCGUAAUACUUUUUUUAAAGGUGGAAGGCUUGCAUCAAAUUUGGCUGUGAAGUGCUGUGCACAGUGUUUGAUACUACAGACAUUCGAGGAUGGUUUACUUGUGGCCUUCUGUGCUUCUUCCAGGGGCAACAUAUGUGCAAGCUCAGUGACUGAUUUGUCUUUUGCUUUCACAGGGAUCAAUAUAGACAAAUCAAUAAAGAUAACUGGAUCUGAAAUACAAAUUAUAGCAUGCCUGAGAGUUACAGGACGACCGUGUCGUUCUUUACUACCUCAUCAUUGCCAGAACCUUCAAGUGUCAUUCAUUUCAGUCAGGACAAAUAGUGGUCACAAAGAGGAGAGUAUUGCAUUGAAAUCUGUCAGCCUACCUUUGGCUCCCUUGUCAUUUUCAGUUGCUUGUUUUGCAUCAUGCUGUUUGUCUUAAGGAAAAUCUAUAGACUGAUAUCCUUUGGGGAGUUGACUUAGGCUUUACUCAGGGUCUGAUGUAACAGGAAUUUACACAGAUUGCACUGCAGACUUGCAAGAGCCAUAGCAACAGCCUGUAAGGAAAGCUUGGCUGUUGACCCUUGCUGCAUAUUCCACUAUGGUGGAAGAAAAUAGGAAGUGAGAGAAGAUAGGUGAAGUUCAUAUCAGAAAAGUAUUGUUACAUGAGGGCUGUUUUGUGACCUCUAUUUGUAAGUAUGCUGUAAAACAAAGAAUCCCCAUCCCAAAUUAUUUGUCUUAAACCACAUCAAAACUGGACUAUCAGUGGCCAAAGCUCCUUUAAGAGCGUAUGGGACUGCUGUGGGGCUUGUCUGCUGCUCUAGCAUGAGAGGAAGAGACCAGUGGUGGUUGUGAUUCUAAGCAUAUGUGAUGUCAAAAUAAAUAGUGAUAUGAACAAGUAUCCAGCUUUAUUUCCUUGGUUUCCUGCCCAGAUUUGAGGUGCUGCUACCUAUAUAGCCUCUCUAUCAAAGCUGUAAGAGAGCGCACUGGAAAUGAGAUGUUCCCUGUUGGCAGCGCUCUCUUAGUCCCCAAGCAUUAGAUCUUAGUUGGAACUCCUGCAUG